This is a long non-coding RNA of Apis laboriosa (Himalayan honeybee), 1724 nucleotides long. RefSeq lists it as uncharacterized. The record is from RefSeq and is a predicted model, not a curated record. NCBI's taxonomy places the organism in Eukaryota, Metazoa, Arthropoda, Insecta, Hymenoptera, Apidae. The transcript is spliced from 3 exons.
UAUUUUGGCUUUUGAUAUAUAUCGAUAUCGGAUCGAAAUUUACAAAUUAGUAUCGAUAGAAUCGAUUCCUUUUCAUAUUUUUAUCUUUGAUACAUUUCAAUAUCAGAUCAAGAUUCGCAAACUUGUAUCGAUAGUCAUAUCAUUAAGAAUAAAUAGAAAGAAGAAAACAAUUUGUAGUGACAUUGUUCGAAGAAGAAAAAUACUAGGUAAGGAAAGUAGCAGCAAUGGUGGUGCUUCACAGAACCCGUAAAAGUGAUUUGUUCUGCUAUUAACGAGACGCGGAUAGCAGGAACGUUAAUGGAAAAUUAUCGACAGUUACGAGACUCGAUACACCGUUACGACUGGUGAACGUCGUAAAUAACAGUCGGUUAUAUGUUUGAAAAUACCUUAAAGGCGUGCUAGUUUCUUGCAACGUAGCGAGUUAACCUAUAACCGGAAUGUGUCGAGCGAUUUUGAACUCGAAACAUCUUUAAAACGCAAAUUUUUCAAACAUAAAUAGAAGAAACUUCGAAAAUAUUUCGCAUCUUUUUGAUAGAAAAGAAAAGUAAGUAUCACGAAAAAUCGUAAACUUUAUUCUACUUGAAGAAAUAUUUCAUAUUUUCGAAAGGAAGACAAGGGGAUUAGAAACGUUCUAACCUCAAAUGUUUUAACGUCAAACUCGAAGAAUAAGAUAUGCCAUUUUCGAAGAAAAAGAAAAAUAUUAUCGAGUCUUUUUUCUAUAAAAAAAAAAUCAAAAAAAAAAUGGAAAUAUCAAAAAUUACGAGUUAGUUAAAAAAACGUAAGGAGUGACAAGUUCCAUCUUUUCCCGAAAAUAAAGGAUAGAAAAGAAAAAACAGAAAAUCAAAAGUUGUUCAAUUGGUGGAUAAAUAAGAAAGAAAGGAAAAAAUGAAAUAAGGGAUGAAGAAAGAAAGAGAGAAGGAAUAAUGGCAACGUCCCUGAAUGAGAAAGCGGUUCGAUGCACUUGCACGAUUCUUUCCUUUGCAUCUCUACUCCGCCUUCCGUAUAGACGUGUUGCAACACGAGGGAAACCACUGUACAAGAUAAUGCUAGGACGAUGUACACUAGGUGGAGAAGAAACGGAAGAUUGAACCGAUUGGAAAGCCCUCCUAGGUUUUUUAUAAUUAUUCUAUUAACUGUAAUUGAUUAGACUGAUAUCGUAAAUGACAAUGUUCAAGAAUUCUAUGCAUAAAUAAAAUUUUCAUCACGUUAAAAAGAAUUUUCUUUACCUCGUAUGGAAAGCCUUGAAUAUUAUUAUAUAAAAGGAAAUUGAAAUUCGAAGAAUUUUUUUCCAGUUAUGCAAAAUAAAGAUAAAAAAGCCUCGUGAAGAGGAAAAAGCAUGUCGAUUAGAUGAUUACCAGCGAUUAUAAAGCGAUUCGAUCGAGCGGAUCAAGAAGAUUCGAAAUCGCUACGAGUCACUCCACUUAAAGCGAUCAAAAUGGUUGAUCGCGACGUCGCUAUCCGCAUUAUUAUCAAUAAGUUCGUCUCGAGAAGCAAUUCGAAUGAAGCUACGCCGACGUUUAUGUCGUGGACCCUCGUCAAUCAUUAUUUACCGACGGGACACAGUGGUCGCUUGGUUGUCUUCGAUUCCUCUGCGCCUUAUCGAGCAAUCGUUUUAUUUUAAAACAAUAAUCUAUUAUCUUCUACAUAGAAUAACCCCUACUGAUAUUAACUAUACUAUAUAAUAAUUGAUCUUUUACGUAAAAAAAAAAAAAAAAAAAAUAGAU